GGGGAAUAUUGGACAAUGGGCGAAAGCCUGAUCCAGCCAUGCCGCGUGUGUGAUGAAGGCCUUAGGGUUGUAAAGCACUUUCACCGAUGAAGAUAAUGACGGUAGUCGGAGAAGAAGCCCCGGCUAACUUCGUGCCAGCAGCCGCGGUAAUACGAAGGGGGCUAGCGUUGUUCGGAAUCACUGGGCGUAAAGCGCACGUAGGCGGAUUGUUAAGUGAGGGGUGAAAUCCCAGGGCUCAACCCUGGAACUGCCUUUCAUACUGGCAAUCUCGAGUUCGAGAGAGGUAAGUGGAAUUCCGAGUGUAGAGGUGAAAUUCGUAGAUAUUCGGAGGAACACCAGUGGCGAAGGCGGCUUACUGGAUCGAUACUGACGCUGAGGUGCGAAAGCGUGGGGAGCAAAC
RNAcentral lists this ribosomal RNA (400 nucleotides) under uncultured bacterium. RNAcentral's name for it is "bacterial SSU rRNA". It matches the Rfam family "Bacterial small subunit ribosomal RNA", at positions 356 to 773 of the family's 1533-position model. The record is from RNAcentral.